RNAcentral lists this long non-coding RNA (2923 nucleotides) under Amphibalanus amphitrite. RNAcentral describes it as "uncharacterized LOC122382339, transcript variant X3". The record is from RNAcentral. Lineage: Eukaryota; Metazoa; Arthropoda; Thecostraca; Balanomorpha; Balanidae.
CUCCAUGUUCCAUCACAUCACAUUAAAUUUCUAAUGGAACAGACACUUCUACCUUUUAUUUCACUAUCAGUCGACUUGCUUUUACCCCUGUGGCCUGCUCGCCCUUUUAUUCCCACGCUGGAAUCUAUCAAUUAUUGAAAAAGCCUCGGAUAAAAAAGCAAGAAAAGUAUGUCAAGUUAAAUAAUUGAGACGGUCCUAGAAAACCAGAAAAAAAAUCAAAAAGCCUGUCCAUCUCACUUCCCUCACUUCAUAACAAAAACCACGGUAUAUAGAGAACUAGGUAAAACCGGUUUGCCGCCACAACACUAAGGUAUUUUAACCACUAUUUUCAGCUGGCCUUCUCAGUCCAAAAAAAGAAACUAGGCCACGUAUCUUUAUGUGUUUUAUUAUUUUUAUAUAAAUUGGCAAUAAAAUUGCACAGGGCAAGACUAGCGUAACUCUGUAAAGUAUUUGCGAAGAUAAUUUUUUGACCGACCACGCCAUUUCGAAAAUAAUAUAUCUUUGGUUGUAGGAGUUUGUUAUUGAUUAAAUCAAAUUUUCAUCCUUAAAAAUUUAAAUUAAUAGUAAAAAAGUAUUAUCAAAUGCCAAUACUGUUUCUUUCAAUUUCGAAACCACCAAGCUCAGCAAAUGGCGGGCCCACCUGACCAGCCAACGUUUUACCACAAAUUCUCGAAUAAAAUCAGUUAUAUUUUCAGAGGCUACAAUGCCACCAGGAAGACCAAGACAAGACAGUGCUCAUGCCCGAAUCAUCGGCAACACAGGAUGGCAAACUUCGCCUCCCCUGGCUUGUAUGAAGCCUUGAUUUCCAUUUAAGGAAGUAAGUCUGUGCCCAAAUGGAUGAUGCACGUGUUGGGCAUUUUUGCAAAACAAAGCAGUUGAAAGGGUUCAUUUGCCGAGGCUGUAUGGAGUACGCCAAGCAAUGUCAUGCUGAUGGGGAGACGUGAGUAUGACAAUGAAACAUACUACAAUUCUUGGCAAAAGGGCUAGCAAAAUGCAUCAUUGAGUUUGACAAUUCUGUACCAGUCAUUGUCAAGCUGGAAAUCUGGGUAACGGUAAUUGGUAAAGCUGGGGUCACCGUCAGCAUAUCAAUAUAGGUAUCAGUCGGGCAAACUGCAGGGAGGUAAUCUAAAAUAAGAUUUAUCUAAUUUAAGAAUAUGAUGUCACCCAAAUGUGCUGAGUGAUGACCAUAUAAGGAAUGAUGAUCAAUAUUUAGACUAUAUUCCCGACAUGUCCACAUUUGAACCCUCCACAACCAUCGAAGAACUGCUCAUAACCACAAUAUUUGUUUUGCUGACUGACAGGCAAACCAUGAUUUAACAAAUUGUGAACUGGCCAGCUCAUUUGAGAUUGGAAUUUGUCACUGGUGACCAAGAUAUUUGGGCAUUAGUAGAGCAGAUGUUACACAGAGGUUUUACAACUGAGGAGAAGUGCUCAUAUGCUUCUUGCUUCCAGAGAUGCUUCUUUUUAACACCAAACCAAACCUUACCUGACAUAAUCUAACCUACAAGUCAGCAUACAAACUAAAACCCUACAACCUACAAACCUACAGCUGUGCCUCUCCUUGGUUGGAAACCCUUCCUAUGAGCAUCCUGCUCUCUUUGCCUAUUUAUCUACUUGGUAAGCAUAAGCGCCUUUAUUUGACAUCUGCUCUACUAGUGCCGUUAAUUUUAAUUUGUAACCUAACCAAACCUAACCUAACCCAAACCCUGCUCAUAACUGUGAUAAGUUGCAGUCCUAACUCCUAACAUCACUUUGAUUCUCCUCAGCCAAUUACAUCAAGAGGGAGACCACACUGACAGGGGUCCAAGAUCCAACUCAGGCCCUACUACUGUCCGCCAGCGGACGGAGGCCCGGCGACGGACGCUGGCUCAGUGGCCAACAGUGGUCCGCCCGCCGGCUGAUGGUGGCUCGCCGACCGACGCCGGCCCGUCGGCUGACCACGGCAUUCCGGCUGAUGGUGGCCCGCCAGCCGACGGAGGUCCGCCGGCCAUUCGUGGCACGCCCGCCGACGGUAGCUCGACACGUCCUGGCUAUGUCACCCCCAAGAUUACUUCGCCCCCCAGUCCCUAGGUCACCAGUUGCGGGCGCUCCAUCUGACGGUGUCGUCCGACGGCUCCACGGUGACCAGCGCCGCCACUGCGGAAACCAUCCGACCCCGAAAAUGCUGCUAGCCGUACACGAACAAAGGGCGCCGGGCACCCAGGACCAGCGCCCUGCUCCGAGGCGGUGUCCAAAGAAGGCUGCACAGUGCACUUGCUGUGCUAAGGCAUAGUGCCCGCUGACUGAUAGGAACAAAUGACGGUCAGUUAUCAGAUUUCAGUAUGGAACUCAAGAUGGUCGGAGCCGACCUGGCUCGGUGGAUGGUGUGCCAGGGUUGAUUAAGUGUCGAAAGGAGUGAGAUGCCCAGAUAUGUGAAGGAUACGUCGAUACGAGCCCCGGCUUCGACUCCCCGUCCCAAAACGAUGUUGGUUGUGAUUGGAGGAUCCCCCACCCCCACCCCACCCACCCCGGAAUUUGUGCUAUGUAAUAGAACGAUAAUAUGUCGUGGUCUCAUUCUGGCUCGAUAUGGUAAUAGGUACUUAAUUGGACAGAUGUUGAUGGUAUUGGUGGUGGAUGUUAAUGGCAGGUUUGGCGAGCGCGAAUUAAUAAUCGUGAGUGCACUAGCUGCAAUCAGUCGCGCGCUUAUUGCUGAGCACCUGUGAGCAAGAAAAUUAUAUGAAUGUGGUAGUUCGUCGUGAAAUCUGUGUACUUUUGGAUUAAGUUGUCAGAACAUAAGUGUAUUUUUGCCGUGUCCACUGCAGCUCUGAAACAGAAACAUGGAGAUCGGCUGUGUGCUGUAGCUGCGGGGGCAAGUAGUCCGCGCGUGCCAAAAAAUCAAAGGUGGUAUGUGAAUUUAAGUGAAUAUACCUCGCUAUAUUUUCAA